Molecule: ribosomal RNA, 429 nt
Filed under: Gemmatimonadota bacterium
Lineage: Bacteria; Pseudomonadati; Gemmatimonadota
Description: Gemmatimonadetes bacterium partial 16S ribosomal RNA
Rfam family: Bacterial small subunit ribosomal RNA
Source: RNAcentral
UAGGGAAUCUUCGGCAAUGGACGAAAGUCUGACCGAGCAACGCCGCGUGAGUGAAGAAGGUUUUCGGAUCGUAAAACUCUGUUGUUAGAGAAGAACAAGGACGUUAGUAACUGAACGUCCCCUGACGGUAUCUAACCAGAAAGCCACGGCUAACUACGUGCCAGCAGCCGCGGUAAUACGUAGGUGGCAAGCGUUGUCCGGAUUUAUUGGGCGUAAAGCGAGCGCAGGCGGUUUCUUAAGUCUGAUGUGAAAGCCCCCGGCUCAACCGGGGAGGGUAAUUGGAAACUGGGAGACUAGAGUGCAGAAGAGGAGAGUGGAAUUCCAUGUGUAGCGGUGAAAUGCGUAGAUAUAUGGAGGAACACCAGUGGCGAAGGCGGCUCUCUGGUCUGUAACUGACGCUGAGGCUCGAAAGCGUGGGGAGCAAACAGG